This 1074-nucleotide unclassified non-coding RNA is filed under the name Hevea brasiliensis (rubber tree). Lineage: Eukaryota; Viridiplantae; Streptophyta; Magnoliopsida; Malpighiales; Euphorbiaceae. The record is from RNAcentral.
UUAAGGAAGCAUUAAUUAUUUUUUCUAACUUUGCCUUUGUCUAUUAUUAUUUCCAAUGCAUUUAUCUCUUCUUAUCACCUUUCUACAUUCUAAGGGUACUUUAGUCAAUUACUGGUAUUUUAAUAUAAAAAUGAGGCUAUCUAAACACUUUCUUAAUCCUUGUGCAAAAAUCUUAAGAAACAUUUGAAAUAGAACAGAGAGAGUAUUACGAAAGAAUCCUCUGUUCAAUAAGUGCCAUGUGAGAGGAAGAGAAUUUAAAACCUGGAAACCAAAAUUCAAAGCUGCAGGUGCAGAAUUCAAGUUUUAUCACUUGUCAGAUCAAAAUUUACUCACACGAUGUUCAACUCUUUCAUUCCCUGGAUGUGACGCAUAUUGGAAACAAUCACAUUUAAACUGACGUUUGAAAUUUGGAGCAUAAAUUUCACAGUGAUGUGGGUAUCUAAAUCUGUACUUUUUUUUUCUAAAUAACACACACACACACACACCCCGUGUGUGUGGACGUCAAAUUACUUAGAGAAAUGGUAAAACUCAAAUGGUAAAUUAGUAAAAUUACAACCUAACCAAUAAACUAUGACUUUCAUUUCAGCUUUAGAAUGUCUACCAAAAUAUCAAAAUUAGCCUGCCUUGACUCCAAAGCAUGGGAAGAGCAUAUAAUCAUAUAGGCAGCCACUAACAUGUUUCUCAAAACGUUAUUCAAAUUUCAGAACAAGUAUCAUAAACAAUAGUGAAAAUUUUACACUCAUCCAAAAACAUAAGAAGAUGGUUACUUUAAACAUCUUUGUUUUGUAGGGUCUAGUACUUCUCCAUAGAAAACGAUAAACAAAAUUCUAGGUGGUUUUAUAUCCAAUCUCUAGUCAAGCCCUAGGAAGAAACGCCACCUAUAUAUUUGUCCAUAACAUCGUAUAAAACAUUCUGAUUCAAGAUCUAAAGUGAUUUAAGGAAGAAUGAUAAGGAUAACGUAUAUGUAAUUUGAGGACAGAAUUCUUGGUGUACCAGUUACAUUAUAAUAUAUAGAAAGAAAGUCCUGGUAUGAAUCAUGUAUACAAUUAUACAUAAAACUGCAUUAAAAGAAAG